GUUAUAUGGGUCAAGUGAAGAAGCGCAUACGGUGGAUGCUUGGCAGUCAGAGGCGAUGAAAGACGUGGUAGCCUGCGAUAAGCUUCGGGGAGUCGGCAAACAGACUUUGGAUCCGGAGAUCUCUGAAUGGGGAAA
Molecule: ribosomal RNA, 135 nt
Filed under: Pseudomonas sp. ATCC 13867
Lineage: Bacteria; Pseudomonadati; Pseudomonadota; Gammaproteobacteria; Pseudomonadales; Pseudomonadaceae
Description: partial 23S ribosomal RNA
Rfam family: Bacterial large subunit ribosomal RNA
Source: RNAcentral